GAUGAACGCUGGCGGCGUGCCUAAUACAUGCAAGUCGAGCGAACGGACGAGAAGCUUGCUUCUCUGAUGUUAGCGGCGGACGGGUGAGUAACACGUGGAUAACCUACCUAUAAGACUGGGAUAACCUCGGGAAACCGGAGCUAAUACCGGAUGAUAUUUUGAACCGCAUGGUUCAAAAGUGAAAGACGGUCUUGCUGUCACUUAUAGAUGGAUCCGCGCUGCAUUAGCUAGUUGGUAAGGUAACGGCUUACCAAGGCAACGAUGCAUAGCCGACCUGAGAGGGUGAUCGGCCACACUGGAACUGAGACACGGUCCAGACUCCUACGGGAGGCAGCAGUAGGGAAUCUUCCGCAAUGGGCGAAAGCCUGACGGAGCAACGCCGCGUGAGUGAUGAAGGUCUUCGGAUCGUAAAACUCUGUUAUUAGGGAAGAACAUAUGUGUAAGUAACUGUGCACAUCUUGACGGUACCUAAUCAGAAAGCCACGGCUAACUACGU
RNAcentral lists this ribosomal RNA (496 nucleotides) under uncultured bacterium. RNAcentral describes it as "partial 16S ribosomal RNA". It matches the Rfam family "Bacterial small subunit ribosomal RNA", at positions 28 to 506 of the family's 1533-position model. The record is from RNAcentral.